UAGGGAAUCUUCCACAAUGGGCGCAAGCCUGAUGGAGCAACACCGCGUGAGUGAAGAAGGGUUUCGGCUCGUAAAGCUCUGUUGUUAAAGGAGAGCACGUAUGAGAGUAACUGUUCAUACGUUGACGGUAUUUAACCAGAAAGUCACGGCUAACUACGUGCCAGCAGCCGCGGUAAUACGUAGGUGGCAAGCGUUAUCCGGAUUUAUUGGGCGUAAAGAGAGUGCGGGCGGUUUUCUAAGUCUGAUGUGAAAGCCUUCGGCUUAACCGGAGAAGUGCAUCGGAAACUGGAUAACUUGAGUGCAGAAGAGGGUAGUGGAACUCCAUGUGUAGCGGCGGAAUGCGUAGAUAUAUGGAAGAACACCAGUGGCGAAGGCGGCUACCUGGUCUGCAACUGACGCUGAGACUCGAAAGCAUGGGUAGCGAACAGGAUUAGAUACCCUGGUAGUCCAUGCCGUAAACGAUGAGUGCUAGGUGUUGGAGGGUUUCCGCCCUUCAGUGCCGGAGCUAACGCAUUAAGCACUCCGCCUGGGGAGUACGACCGCAAGGUUG
This 550-nucleotide ribosomal RNA is filed under the name uncultured bacterium. Its description in RNAcentral is "bacterial SSU rRNA". It matches the Rfam family "Bacterial small subunit ribosomal RNA", at positions 355 to 896 of the family's 1533-position model. The record is from RNAcentral.